Long non-coding RNA from Pezoporus flaviventris, 565 nucleotides. RefSeq lists it as uncharacterized. The transcript is spliced from 3 exons. Lineage: Eukaryota; Metazoa; Chordata; Aves; Psittaciformes; Psittacidae. The record is from RefSeq and is a predicted model, not a curated record.
ACCACCUUAAAGGAAAAUUACUUCCACCAUAAUUAGUCUUUUCUGAAAACAAACCAAAACCAAACAAACCCAAAUACCAAAUAAAAGCCCACACCCCUACCUGUCAUUAUUUUGGCCAUUCACUCCCCCUUAAAUCACAACAGCUAACUGCUAAUUUGAAGCAACUGUGAAGAGGCAAUAGAGGCUUUAACCUGACUAAAUGAAGCUCAUGUUUGUUGGGAGAGUUGCUAACCAGCUGACAGUAAGCAGGAGAAAAAGAAACCAACCCUAUCUCCAGUUCAGCCCAGAAGCCCAAGAGGUUUCCUCAGUCCCACCCACAAAGCAUAGGGAUGUGUUAUAUAUAGGGCCAAAGGACCUAGUACCAAGCUCUAGUCUGAUUAGAGCUUUUCUCAGGAAAGGAAAGCUUUAGUUGAAAAUUGAAGACCUUAAACCUCAGCUGCCUAUGGAUGUAUCAGUCUUGCAUGGGUAAAAAGGGUGUUGUGUAGCCUGACUUCAAAGAUUGAGCAGAAAAGCUUUCUCCUUCAACACAAGCAAGUUCUCUGGUUCCCAGGUAACUAUUUGAAGA